UACAGAGGUCCCAAGCGUUGUUCGGAUUCACUGGGCGUAAAGGGUGCGUAGGUGGCUUGGUAAGUUUGAUGUGAAAUCUCCGGGCUUAACCCGGAAAUGGCAUUGAAUACUAUUGAGCUGGAGGUUUGGAGGGGGGACUGGAAUUCUCGGUGUAGCGGUGAAAUGCGCAGAUAUCAGGAAGAACACCCGUGGCUAAGGCGGCUCUCUAGUACGGUACUGACGCUGAGACGCGAAAGCGUGGGGAGCGAACAGG
This 253-nucleotide ribosomal RNA is filed under the name uncultured bacterium. Its description in RNAcentral is "partial 16S ribosomal RNA". It matches the Rfam family "Bacterial small subunit ribosomal RNA", at positions 524 to 776 of the family's 1533-position model. The record is from RNAcentral.